Molecule: long non-coding RNA, 1518 nt
Filed under: Sus scrofa (pig)
Lineage: Eukaryota; Metazoa; Chordata; Mammalia; Artiodactyla; Suidae
Description: lncRNA (ENSSSCG00005011493.1)
Source: RNAcentral
GCUGUUCCUGCCCGAGGGAACAUGGACUUCAGUGGAAGAGACACUCAGAAGAGAGCUGCGAAACAAAUUACAAUGUAGAUGAUUCCGUAGCUGGGCUGCAGCACCGUCCCUGGAGAGCACAUGACAGGAAUGCAUGUUGGGCAGGAUGUGAAGUUGAGCCCUGGGCUGAAGCAAACUUAACCCCACCUGCGGACAGGACACUUCUGAAGCCGCUGCCUCGGCUUCCACCAGAAGCUGCAUCUCUGUGCUGCUAGAGAUGGAGAGCCCUGUCUUAGCUGGUUCAGUCGGGGCUGAGUAUUCAGCAGCUAAAGCUGCAUGUACUGUGACCUUCUGAGCCAAAGGCAGGGAAAGAUGCUCUCUAAUCCAUCUGGAAGUGAUUUUGACACCUGCCACAGUUGCGUUCGGGGAGAACCCGAGCAAUUAGCCAGCAGCGCCCCCUGGCGCCUCUUUCACCGCAAGUGUUCGGCUCUCAACUUGUUCAACCACCCUCCACCCGCUCCACGGGCAACUUUUCCGGGAAGGCGCCUCCAAAGACCUCUGUGAGUAGCGUAGGCUGCUCUGCUCUGACAACCUCUUCGGGGUAAAUUUCUUUUCCAUUUGAACAGCUUCUCCUUAGUUAAGGAGAAACCGUUAUUGCCCGGUUGCUUUUUCGUCUUUUGGAUGGAGAGAAGCAGAGGAAUUCUGGGCGGAGGCCAACGAUUAGCUGCAACAUCUACUGAUCACUUCCAUGAAGUCUUUGAGCCUUUGUAUAAAUAAAACACCAGCCGGGGGCUCCUUCUGCUCCCAUUGAUGCCCGAGUGCCAACUACAGGUUUGACUCUGAGACCCUCCUUAAAAAAUUAGGAAAAAAAAUUUUUAAAACGUUUUUAAAUUGGAUUUUUAUUGCCUAAGGAGGGAUCUGUAAAAUACGUAGAGUGGGAAGAAUGCAGAUAAAUAAGACCUGAAAGUUGUCCUCAAAUAUAUCAAAGCCAUACUGGAUAGUGGACCUGCUGGAGAAUAGAAAAAUAAACUGUUGAAUGCCUCUCCAUCAUUUUCUCUCCUGACACCCUAGUGGAGGGGCUCAUGAGUACCCGAAUGCCCAAAAUAUGGCCCAAAGGGAAGAUCCUAAAGAGUACACUAACUGCAUACUCAAGCCUGAAUUUAAUUGACUCGGUGGCAGAAACAAAAUUGUCCUGGUAAUGGGUUAUUCUAGCUCAGGUUACAAUAGCAGGAAAUUUUUAAAUAAUUGUGGAAAAAUGCACUUCAGGAGACAAUUAACUAUAUGAGCUACCCAGAGUAGGUUAGGGUGACCCUUGUCAAGACAUUCAUUUGAGAAAUAGGAAAGAAAGCAGGUCAUUUUUCUGUCUUAAAAAAAGAUUUGUAUUUUUCAUAUUGUGGCAGAAUUGAAACUUCUUACGCGGCUCAAGCUACUUAAAGAUUAUUCAGUGUUUGACAGAUGUUUGGUCAGACUGACUGUACAAUGUGUUCUGAUAUGAUUCACUGUUCCUGAAAGGGGGAAAAUCUUCUAACAGUUCUGAAG